RNAcentral lists this long non-coding RNA (229 nucleotides) under Prunus dulcis (almond). RNAcentral describes it as "sRNA ncRNA". The record is from RNAcentral. Lineage: Eukaryota; Viridiplantae; Streptophyta; Magnoliopsida; Rosales; Rosaceae.
AUGUCAGUAAUGCAAGCUGGCAUCUCCUCAAAGAUAUGCAGACCUGGAUUAAAAUCAAAACUAAUAGCAGCCAAAGCAUCAGUUGCACAGUUUUGUUCACGAAUGAUGUGUCUAACUGAGCAAUUCCAAUUAGCACUCAUUUUUACUUUGCAGCAAUUGAUGAUACUGAACAGGGGGUGGGUAGAAAUAGUGAGAGAAUUAAGAAGAGCCACUGCAACCUUGGAAUCAC